RNAcentral lists this ribosomal RNA (270 nucleotides) under uncultured archaeon. RNAcentral's name for it is "partial 16S ribosomal RNA". It matches the Rfam family "Archaeal small subunit ribosomal RNA", at positions 477 to 747 of the family's 1478-position model. The record is from RNAcentral.
CAGCACCUCAAGUGGUCAGGAUGAUUAUUGGGCCUAAAGCAUCCGUAGCCUGCUUUGUUAGUUUUCGGUUAAAUCCAUACGCUCAACGUAUGGGCUGCCGGGAAUACUGCAAAGCUAGGGAGUGGGAGAGGUAGACGGUACUCGGUAGGAAGGGGUAAAAUCCUUUGAUCUAUUGAUGGCCACCUGUGGCGAAGGCGGUCUACCAGAACACGUCCGACGGUGAGGGAUGAAAGCUGGGGGAGCAAACCGGAUUAGAUACCCGAGUAGUCC